UAACACCAGCGCCACAAGUGGCGAUCGUUUUUAUUGGGCCUAAAGCGUCCGUAGCUGGUUUGGUAAAUCUCUUGUGAAAUUGUUAAGCUUCACUUAACAGCGUGCAGGAGACACUGCCAAACUCGGAACCGGUAGGAGUCAGAAGUAUGAUAGGGGUAACGGUAAUAUGUUAUAAUCCCUACUAGACUACCUGUGGCGAAGGCGUCUGACUAGGACGGAUUCGACAGUGAGGGACGAAAGCCAGGGGAGCGAACCGGAUUAGAUACCCGAGUAGUCCUGGCCGUAAACGCUGUGAGCCAGGUGUUGCAUAUUCUUCGGGAAUAUGCAGUAUCGAAAUGAAGAUGUUAAGCUCACCGCCUGGGAAGUAUGGUCGCAAGACUG
Molecule: ribosomal RNA, 381 nt
Filed under: uncultured euryarchaeote
Lineage: Archaea; Methanobacteriati; Methanobacteriota
Description: bacterial SSU rRNA
Rfam family: Archaeal small subunit ribosomal RNA
Source: RNAcentral